AUACGAAAGGUGCAAGCGUUGUUCGGAUUUACUGGGCGUAAAGAGAGUGUAGGUUGUUUAUUAAGUCGGAUGUGAAAUCCCGGGGCUCAACCUCGGAACUGCAUUCGAUACUGGUAGACUAGAGUUCGGGAGGGGUAAGCGGAAUUCCGUGUGUAGCAGUGAAAUGCGUAGAUAUACGGAGGAACACCUGAGGCGAAGGCGGCUUACUGGACCGAUACUGACACUGAGACUCGAAAGCGUGGGUAGCAAACAGGAGUAGAAACCCCAGUAGUCC
Molecule: ribosomal RNA, 274 nt
Filed under: uncultured bacterium
Lineage: Bacteria
Description: partial 16S ribosomal RNA
Rfam family: Bacterial small subunit ribosomal RNA
Source: RNAcentral